Molecule: ribosomal RNA, 340 nt
Filed under: Cortinarius sp. 1859 JG-2015
Lineage: Eukaryota; Fungi; Basidiomycota; Agaricomycetes; Agaricales; Cortinariaceae
Description: eukaryotic LSU rRNA
Rfam family: 5.8S ribosomal RNA (bases 1-66)
Source: RNAcentral
UCAUCGAAUCUUUGAACGCACCUUGCGCUCCUUGGUAUUCCGAGGAGCAUGCCUGUUUGAGUGUCAUUAAUAUUAUAUAUCAACCUUCUCUUGCUUCACAAGAGAGUGGUUUGGAAGUGGGUGUCUGCUGGUCCCUUUGGGUUCAGCUCACCUGAAAUGCAUUAGCAGGGACAACAAUCCCUUGUUCAUUGGUGUGAUAACUCUUACGCCGUUGAAUGUGAAGGGGGGUCCAGUUCCAGCUUUCUAAUCUGUCUUUUUGUUUCAAAAAGACUUUGUCAUUAAUGUGACCUCAAAUCAGGUAGGACUACCCGCUGAACUUAAGCAUAUCAAUAAGCGGAGG